UGGGGAAUAUUGCACAAUGGGCGCAAGCCAGAUGCAGCCAUGCCGCGUGUAUGAAGAAGGCCUUCGGGUUGUAAAGUACUUUCAGCGGGGAGGAAGGGAGUAAAGUUAAUACCUUUGCUCAUUGACGUUACCCGCAGAAGAAGCACCGGCUAACUCCGUGCCAGCAGCCGCGGUAAUACGGAGGGUGCAAGCGUUAAUCGGAAUUACUGGGCGUAAAGCGCACGCAGGCGGUUUGUUAAGUCAGAUGUGAAAUCCCCGGGCUCAACCUGGGAACUGCAUCUGAUACUGGCAAGCUUGAGUCUCGUAGAGGGGGGUAGAAUUCCAGGUGUAGCGGUGAAAUGCGUAGAGAUCUGGAGGAAUACCGGUGGCGAAGGCGGCCCCCUGGACGAAGACUGACGCUCAGGUGCGAAAGCGUGGGGAGCAAACAGGA
This 430-nucleotide ribosomal RNA is filed under the name Chloroflexota bacterium. Its description in RNAcentral is "Chloroflexi bacterium partial 16S ribosomal RNA". It matches the Rfam family "Bacterial small subunit ribosomal RNA", at positions 355 to 777 of the family's 1533-position model. The record is from RNAcentral. Lineage: Bacteria; Bacillati; Chloroflexota.